GCCUGGGUUGCUCAGUUGGUUGAGCCUCCGACUUCGGCUCAGGUCGUGAUCUCACAGUCUGUGGGUUCGAGUCCCGCGUCAGGCU
This 85-nucleotide transfer RNA is filed under the name Felis catus (domestic cat). It matches the Rfam family "tRNA". Rfam says of the family: Transfer RNA (tRNA) molecules are approximately 80 nucleotides in length. Their secondary structure includes four short double-helical elements and three loops (D, anti-codon, and T loops). Further hydrogen bonds mediate the characteristic L-shaped molecular structure. tRNAs have two regions of fundamental functional importance: the anti-codon, which is responsible for specific mRNA codon recognition, and the 3' end, to which the tRNAs corresponding amino acid is attached (by aminoacyl-tRNA synthetases). tRNAs cope with the degeneracy of the genetic code in two manners: having more than one tRNA (with a specific anti-codon) for a particular amino acid; and 'wobble' base-pairing, i.e. permitting non-standard base-pairing at the 3rd anti-codon position. The record is from Rfam by way of RNAcentral. Lineage: Eukaryota; Metazoa; Chordata; Mammalia; Carnivora; Felidae.